CAAGAUAUAGAUGAUUCUUUGACAUUUUAUGGAAUCAACUUGAGUUGGAUAUAGCUUAGGCACUUUUAAUAGAAUUGGAUCAAUGUUCUAAGUUUCAAGAACUCACCAAAACUUGCACCAAACACCAAACUCACAUGGAAGACCCAUUUCUUGCCAAUUGAACCAAUUAAAAGAUGUAAAAAUGCAAAUGAACCGAUUAAAUUGCUU
This 207-nucleotide long non-coding RNA is filed under the name Phaseolus vulgaris (common bean). RNAcentral's name for it is "long non-coding RNA (PVUL_LNC001654)". The record is from RNAcentral. Lineage: Eukaryota; Viridiplantae; Streptophyta; Magnoliopsida; Fabales; Fabaceae.